Molecule: long non-coding RNA, 221 nt
Filed under: Danio rerio (zebrafish)
Lineage: Eukaryota; Metazoa; Chordata; Actinopteri; Cypriniformes; Danionidae
Description: lncRNA si:ch211-207m2.2 (ENSDARG00000098023.2)
Source: RNAcentral
AGCCAAUCAGCUGUCAGUUCCAGCGCGCCAUAUGUGUAAACAGCACGGAGAGUCGGAGACAAGACAUCAGAAACAUAGGCAAAAUGACUGUGAACGCGAAACCAAAUGGUUGGCCAGGAGUUAUAAACUUUCCUUUAAUAAAAGACAAGCCUAAUUAUGAAGUACAUCUGCAAAUAGAUGCAAACGCAGGAUUUCUGAUGACAAGGCGUGAGACUACACAU